GGAUAUCCUUAGGUUAUACGCCUCCUCUACUUGAGCGGUAGAGAGAAGCUUGCUUCUCUUGAGAGCGGCGGACGGGUGAGUAAUGCCUAGGAAUCUGCCUGGUAGUGGGGGAUAACGUUCGGAAACGGACGCUAAUACCGCAUACGUCCUACGGGAGAAAGCAGGGGACCUUCGGGCCUUGCGCUAUCAGAUGAGCCUAGGUCGGAUUAGCUAGUUGGUGAGGUAAUGGCUCACCAAGGCGACGAUCCGUAACUGGUCUGAGAGGAUGAUCAGUCACACUGGAACUGAGACACGGUCCAGACUCCUACGGGAGGCAGCAGUGGGGAAUAUUGGACAAUGGGCGAAAGCCUGAUCCAGCCAUGCCGCGUGUGUGAAGAAGGUCUUCGGAUUGUAAAGCACUUUAAGUUGGGAGGAAGGGUUGUAAACUAAUACUCGGCUGUUUUGACGUUACCGACAGAAUAAGCACCGGCUAACUCUGUGCCAGCAGCCGCGGUAAUACAGAGGGUGCAAGCGUUAAUCGGAAUUACUGGGCGUAAAGCGCGCGUAGGUGGUUUGUUAAGUUGGAUGUGAAAUCCCCGGGCUCAACCUGGGAACUGCAUUCAAAACUGACUGACUAGAGUAUGGUAGAGGGUGGUGGAAUUUCCUGUGUAGCGGUGAAAUGCGUAGAUAUAGGAAGGAACACCAGUGGCGAAAGGCGACCACCUGGACUGAUACUGACACUGAGUUGCGAAAGCGUGGGGAGCAACCAGGAUUAGAUACCCUGGUAGUCCACGCCGUAAACGAUGUCAACUAGCCGUGGGAAGCCUUUGAGCUCUUUAGUGCCGCAGCUAACCGCAUAAGUUGACGCCUGGAGUACGCCGCAGUUAAAAACCUCAAUGAUUGACGGGGCCCGCCAAGCGUUGGAACCAUGUGGUUAUUCGAGCACCAAAGACUACCAGCUGAACUCAUGACUUCCAGAAUUGAAUUUGGUCCUUCCGA
Molecule: ribosomal RNA, 978 nt
Filed under: Pseudomonas azotoformans
Lineage: Bacteria; Pseudomonadati; Pseudomonadota; Gammaproteobacteria; Pseudomonadales; Pseudomonadaceae
Description: bacterial SSU rRNA
Rfam family: Bacterial small subunit ribosomal RNA
Source: RNAcentral